CUAGCCGUACUGCAACGCCGCCUCCCCACUGCUAGAGCACCCUAGCCGCCUUGGGACUCCGGGCGCAGCCUGCGGGAGGCUCCCCACCGCUGCUUACGAGGCGGGAGUUGGGGAAUGGAGCAAAGAGGGAAGAAGGCGAGGCCUGGGGGAGGCCAGAGAAUCGCCUCAGACCGGUAGCUCGGAGAUUGGAGUAAGAAAGGCAGAUUUCUGUCAGAGGGUGGUCAUCUGGAACCAAACCAGGGGAGUCCAGUUACUCUUAAAAUUCUGAACGGAAUCUUGAAAGGUACCAGGAGGAAAGGAAAGCCAGGGCACAACGAGCAGAGAGGAAAAAAUGAAAAGUGAGAAAUGGUGAGGACAUACAAAGCAAGGGAGCGUCAAGAACAAUGGAUAUGGGAA
Molecule: long non-coding RNA, 396 nt
Filed under: Cercocebus atys (sooty mangabey)
Lineage: Eukaryota; Metazoa; Chordata; Mammalia; Primates; Cercopithecidae
Description: lncRNA (ENSCATG00000045860.1)
Source: RNAcentral